UUAUUUUUAAUUUGCUCAAAGGAUAUGUCUUGAUAUUGGUUGACCUUAAGUG
Molecule: non-coding RNA, 52 nt
Filed under: Plasmodium falciparum 3D7
Lineage: Eukaryota; Apicomplexa; Aconoidasida; Haemosporida; Plasmodiidae
Source: RNAcentral